Molecule: transfer RNA, 71 nt
Filed under: Fukomys damarensis (Damara mole-rat)
Lineage: Eukaryota; Metazoa; Chordata; Mammalia; Rodentia; Bathyergidae
Rfam family: tRNA
About the family: Transfer RNA (tRNA) molecules are approximately 80 nucleotides in length. Their secondary structure includes four short double-helical elements and three loops (D, anti-codon, and T loops).
Source: Rfam by way of RNAcentral
GGGGAUGUAGCUAAGUGGUAGAGCACUUGCCUGGCAAGUGGAAGGCCUGGGUUCAAUCCCUAGUACUGUUU